UGAAAUUAAAAAAUAAAAUUCAUUAUUAUAUAAUACAUUUAAUAAUAGUUUAAGUCAAAUAUAUUUAAUUAAAAACUGAAAAGGAUAAGUAAUUUUUUAUAAAAAGUAAUUAUUUGUACCUUUAGCAUAAGGGACUUUUUAAAAAUAAUAAAAAUUUAUUUUAUUCGAAAUCAACAGAUCUAUUUUAUUUAUAUAAUAAUAUAUUGCAAAAUAUCAUUGAAAAGUAAAAUAGAAGUGAAAUUCUUUUCAAAGUUGAGGAUAUCUAAUUUUAAUAAAUAACUAAAAGUUUUCUUAUAAGAAUAAUUAUUAAUUAAACUUAUAAGCAAAUAUUUAAGGGAUAAGCUUUAAAUAUUAAUUAUAUAAACUAAUUUCAUAAUUAAAAAAGAAAUAAAAUUUUUCUAUUAUUGUUAUAAGUAAUUAAUUAUUUAGUAUUUUUAUAAAAAUAAUUAUUUAUUUAAUAAAAUAAAUUUCUAUUUAAUUCAAAAAUGAAAGUAUUAGUAAAAUGCUUAUUAAUAAUUUAAUAUUUAAUUUCAAAUUAAAUUUUUAAAAUAAAUUUUAAAAAUUAGGCAAAAAAUUUUUUUGACUGUUUAUUAAAAACAAUGUAUUUAGCUUCUCAAUAAUUAAAUAUAAAUCCUGCUCAAUGAAUAUUAAAUUGCUGUAGUAUUUUGACUAUACAAAGGUAUUGUAAUAAGAUUUUAAUUGAGUGCUAAGAGAAUGGAUUUUCAAAAAAAAUCUUUUUUAAAUUUAAAAAUUGAAGUUAUUUUUAUUUGUGAAGAAACAAUAAUAAAAAUUAUAGACAAGAAGACCCUAAGAAUUUUUAUAACUUUUCGCUAAAAAUUUAAUGAAAAGUUAUUUAAUUGGGGCGAUUUAAAAAAAUAAUAAACUUUUUAUAAUUCAAAUUCGAUCCAUUAAUAAUGAUUUUAUGAAAAAAAAAUACUCUAGGGAUAACAGCGUAAUAAUUUUAGAUAGAUCUUAUAGAAAAAAUAGUUUGCGACCUCGAUGUUGGAUUAGGAUACUUUUUUAAUGAAGAAGUUAAAAUAAGAAGUUUGUUCAACUUUUAAAAUCCUACAUGAUCUGAGUUUAGACCGAUGUGAAUCAGGUUGGUUUCUAUCUUAAUUUUAAAUUUUUUUUAAUUAGUACGAAAGGAAUUUUAAAAAAAAAUAAUUUUAUUAAUCUUAACAGUUUUUGCAUCAAUUUUUGGAAUU
RNAcentral lists this ribosomal RNA (1205 nucleotides) under Haemaphysalis humerosa. Its description in RNAcentral is "16S ribosomal RNA". The stretch from base 944 to 1102 matches the Rfam family "Archaeal large subunit ribosomal RNA", at positions 2544 to 2703 of the family's 2987-position model. Lineage: Eukaryota; Metazoa; Arthropoda; Arachnida; Ixodida; Ixodidae. The record is from RNAcentral.